GAUGAACGCUGGCGGCGUGCCUAAUACAUGCAAGUCGAGCGAACAGAUAAGGAGCUUGCUCCUUUGACGUUAGCGGCGGACGGGUGAGUAACACGUGGGUAACCUACCUAUAAGACUGGAAUAACUCCGGGAAACCGGGGCUAAUGCCGGAUAACAUUUAGAACCGCAUGGUUCUAAAGUGAAAGAUGGUUUUGCUAUCACUUAUCGAUCGACCCUCGCCGUAUUAGCUAGUUGGUAAGGUAAUGGCUUACCAAGGCAACGAUACGUAGCCGACCUGAGAGGGUGAUCGGCCACACUGGAACUGAGACACGGUCCAGACUCCUACGGGAGGCAGCAGUAGGGAAUCUUCCGCAAUGGGCGAAAGCCUGACGGAGCAACGCCGCGUGAGUGAUGAAGGGUUUCGGCUCGUAAAACUCUGUUAUUAGGGAAGAACAAACGUGUAAGUAACUGUGCACGUCUUGACGGUACCUAAUCAGAAAGCCACGGCUAACUACGUGCCAGCCGCCGCCGUAA
RNAcentral lists this ribosomal RNA (513 nucleotides) under uncultured bacterium. RNAcentral's name for it is "partial 16S ribosomal RNA". It matches the Rfam family "Bacterial small subunit ribosomal RNA", at positions 28 to 523 of the family's 1533-position model. The record is from RNAcentral.